GACGAACGCUGGCGGCGUGCCUAACACAUGCAAGUCGAACGGAACUGUUUUGACAGCUUUCUUCGGAAUGAAUUUGAUUUAGUUUAGUGGCGGACGGGUGAGUAACGCGUGAGUAACCUGCCUUCAAGAGGGGAAUAACAUUCUGAAAAGAAUGCUAAUACCGCAUGACAUAUCGGAACCACAUGGUUUUGAUAUCAAAGAUUUUAUCGCUUGAAGAUGGACUCGCGUCCGAUUAGUUAGUUGGUGAGGUAACGGCUCACCAAGACCGCGGUCGGUAGCCGGACUGAGAGGUUGAACGGCCACAUUGGGACUGAGACACGGCCCAGACUCCUACGGGAGGCAGCAGUGGGGGAUAUUGCGCAAUGGGGGCAACCCUGACGCAGCAACGACGCGUGAAGGAUGAAGGUUUUCGGAUUGUAAACUUCUUUUAUUAAGGACGAAAAAUGACGGUACUUAAUGAAUAAGCUCCGGCUAACUACGUG
This 482-nucleotide ribosomal RNA is filed under the name uncultured bacterium. Its description in RNAcentral is "partial 16S ribosomal RNA". It matches the Rfam family "Bacterial small subunit ribosomal RNA", at positions 28 to 507 of the family's 1533-position model. The record is from RNAcentral.